This 418-nucleotide ribosomal RNA is filed under the name uncultured bacterium. RNAcentral's name for it is "bacterial SSU rRNA". It matches the Rfam family "Bacterial small subunit ribosomal RNA", at positions 28 to 409 of the family's 1533-position model. The record is from RNAcentral.
GAUGAACGCUGGCGGCGUGCCUAAUACAUGCAAGUCGAACGCAUUGUGGUUGAAAUGAUAUGAAGAACUUGUUCAGAUUUGAUUUUCAACAUUGCAAUGAGUGGCGAACGGGUGAGUAACACGUGGGAAACCUACCUCUUAGCAGGGGAUAACAUUUGGAAACAAAUGCUAAUACCGUAUAAUAAUUAAAACCGCAUGGUUUUAGUUUAAAAGAUGGUCUUGCUAUCACUAAGAGAUGGUCCCGCGGUGUAUUAGUUAGUUGGUGAGGUAAUGGCUCACCAAGACAAUGAUACAUAGCCGAGUUGAGAGACUGACGGCCACAAUGGGACUGAGACACGGCCCAUACUCCUACGGGAGGCAGCAGUAGGAAUCUUCCACAAUGGACGAAAGUCUGAUGGAGCAACGCCGCGUGUGUGAU